UCCGGUAUGGUGUAGUGGCUAACAUCGCUCGCUCUCAAGUCAGUGCCGAGCAGCCCAGGGUUCGAUUCCCUGUACCGGAG
This is a transfer RNA of Beauveria bassiana D1-5, 80 nucleotides long. It matches the Rfam family "tRNA". From Rfam's summary of the family: Transfer RNA (tRNA) molecules are approximately 80 nucleotides in length. Their secondary structure includes four short double-helical elements and three loops (D, anti-codon, and T loops). The record is from Rfam. NCBI's taxonomy places the organism in Eukaryota, Fungi, Ascomycota, Sordariomycetes, Hypocreales, Cordycipitaceae.